GCCUCUGUAGCUCAGUUGGUUACAGCACUGCACUGGAAUCACAGGGCCACAGGUUUGAUUCCUGCCAGAGGAC
This 73-nucleotide transfer RNA is filed under the name Paramuricea clavata. It matches the Rfam family "tRNA". From Rfam's summary of the family: Transfer RNA (tRNA) molecules are approximately 80 nucleotides in length. The record is from Rfam by way of RNAcentral. Lineage: Eukaryota; Metazoa; Cnidaria; Anthozoa; Malacalcyonacea; Plexauridae.